CGUUGAAUUGAAUAUAAACCGUAGACAGUAGGUGCUAACCUUAAGCUUAAAAUUUCCUACCGAGGUAAUUAAUGAUAAAUUUGAUUAUAAAACCUCUCUAUGUCUACGUAAGAGAGGUUUUUCUAUGGACGU
The sequence is a regulatory RNA element, 132 nucleotides long. It matches the Rfam family "Ribosomal protein L10 leader". From Rfam's summary of the family: This family is a putative r-protein leader autoregulatory structure found in B. subtilis and other low-GC Gram-positive bacteria. It is located in the 5' untranslated regions of mRNAs encoding ribosomal proteins L10 and L12 (rplJ-rplL). The record is from Rfam.